This 69-nucleotide transfer RNA is filed under the name Scolecomorphus vittatus. RNAcentral's name for it is "tRNA-His". It matches the Rfam family "tRNA". From Rfam's summary of the family: Transfer RNA (tRNA) molecules are approximately 80 nucleotides in length. Their secondary structure includes four short double-helical elements and three loops (D, anti-codon, and T loops). Lineage: Eukaryota; Metazoa; Chordata; Amphibia; Gymnophiona; Scolecomorphidae. The record is from RNAcentral.
GUAAAUAUAGUUUAAUAAAAACAUUAAAUUGUGAUUUUAAUAAUAGAAAUUAACAACUUCUUAUUUACC